UGAGGAAUAUUGGUCAAUGGGCGAGAGCCUGAACCAGCCAAGUCGAGUGAAGGAAGACAGUCCUAAGGAUUGUAAACUUCUUUUAUACGGGAAUAACGGGCGAUACGAGUAUUGCAUUGAAUGUACCGUAAGAAUAAGCAUCGGCUAACUCCGUGCCAGCAGCCGCGGUAAUACGGAGGAUGCGAGCGUUAUCCGGAUUUAUUGGGUUUAAAGGGUGCGUAGGUUGUUCGGUAAGUCAGCGGUGAAACCUGAGCGCUCAACGUUCAGCCUGCCGUUGAAACUGCCGGGCUUGAGUUCAGUGGCGGCAGGCGGAAUUCGUGGUGUAGCGGUGAAAUGCAUAGAUAUCACGAGGAACUCCGAUUGCGAAGGCAGCUUGCCAUACUGCGACUGACACUGAAGCACGAAGGCGUGGGUAUCAAACAGG
This 424-nucleotide ribosomal RNA is filed under the name Fusobacteriota bacterium. RNAcentral's name for it is "Fusobacteria bacterium partial 16S ribosomal RNA". It matches the Rfam family "Bacterial small subunit ribosomal RNA", at positions 355 to 776 of the family's 1533-position model. The record is from RNAcentral. Lineage: Bacteria; Fusobacteriati; Fusobacteriota.